GAGUUUGAUCCUGGCUCAGAUUGAACGCUGGCGGCAUGCCUUACACAUGCAAGUCGAACGGCAGCACGGGAGCUUGCUCCUGGUGGCGAGUGGCGAACGGGUGAGUAAUGCAUCGGAACGUAUCCUGGAGUGGGGGAUAACGUAGCGAAAGUUACGCUAAUACCGCAUAUUCUGUGAGCAGGAAAGCGGGGGACCUUCGGGCCUCGCGCUCUUGGAGCGGCCGAUGUCGGAUUAGCUAGUUGGUGAGGUAAAGGCUCACCAAGGCGACGAUCCGUAGCAGGUCUGAGAGGAUGAUCUGCCACACUGGAACUGAGACACGGUCCAGACUCCUACGGGAGCAGCAGUGGGAAUAUUGGACAAUGGGCGAAAGCCUGAUCCAGCCAUGCCGCGUGUGUGAAGAAGGUCUUCGGAUUGUAAAGCACUUUAAGUUGGGAGGAA
Molecule: ribosomal RNA, 438 nt
Filed under: bacterium enrichment culture clone ALO1_GLFRUDD03GMYXL
Lineage: Bacteria
Description: bacterial SSU rRNA
Rfam family: Bacterial small subunit ribosomal RNA
Source: RNAcentral